GUGUCAGCCGCCGCGGUAAUACGUAGGGCGCAAGCGUUGUCCGGAAUUAUUGGGCGUAAAGAGCUCGUAGGCGGUUUGUCGCGUCUGCUGUGAAAACGCGAGGCUUAACCUCGCGCCUGCAGUGGGUACGGGCAGACUAGAGUGCGGUAGGGGAGACUGGAAUUCCUGGUGUAGCGGUGGAAUGCGCAGAUAUCAGGAGGAACACCGGUGGCGAAGGCGGGUCUCUGGGCCGUUACUGACGCUGAGGAGCGAAAGCAUGGGGAGCGAACAGGAUUAGAUACCCUGGUAGUCC
Molecule: ribosomal RNA, 292 nt
Filed under: uncultured bacterium
Lineage: Bacteria
Description: partial 16S ribosomal RNA
Rfam family: Bacterial small subunit ribosomal RNA
Source: RNAcentral